UUUUUUACCUCAGCAAUUUCUAUAUGGAGUUUUUACUACAAUGUCAAACAUCUUUUAUUUUAUUUUAUUAUUAUUAUAUAUUUAAUCAAAAUCUAUAUAAGUAACAAAACGGUCAAAUUAUUUUGAGGAGAAAAAAAAAAGUAAAAUGACACAAAAUCUAAAAGUGAUUUCCACAGACUAAAUUAAACUAAACUAAAACUAAAACACAUUUUUAAUUAACACUGAUUUUAGAUCCGCGCAGGGUAGUGAGGUAACUUACAAUUCACUUUUUUAAGUAUAUGAUGGCAGGUCACAUAGAAAUAAACUAUGGUGAGGGUUACCGAGGGUUUGCUCACCGUUGCUUUCCCCGCCCACAGAGGUGGCCACUGCGCCCAGACUGAAUAAUGUAUCCAUGUCUCUGCGUCUUGGAAACAGCCAGCGCUACAACUACAACUCACAACGAGAGCCACGUUUGUCAACACAGCAGCUACUACUCAACAGACAGACAGACAGACAGACAGACAGACAGACAGACAGACAGACAGACAGACAGACAGGCAGACAGACAGGCAGACAGACAGACAGACAGACAGACAGGCUGAGUGGUUUCACUGCAGGACGCACGGAUGCGCAAUUACGCACGAGACUAGAGGAAUGUCACCGUCGGCGCGCUGAGCUGUGGUCACUUGUUGAAACGACAUCACCUGUGCGUCAGUAUAGUCUCUCCCAGUCCUCCCAGAACACUUGUAGCAGAAUGGGAUGCUCCACCAGUACUCACACCUCCGGAGUGGAUCCGAGCAGACCGAGCACCAAACCGGAGGAGAGCAACGGGGCCAGCACCACAGGGGCGGCCCACGAGAACGGAAAUGUAGCUGAGGACACUGAAACGCUCCCCGAUGAGACACCUACUGGAGGCACUGUGGCAGAACCUGCAGCAGAUGCAACAUCUGCACAGCCCACAGCAGGGGUGGAACCUCCACCUGCAGCUGCAGCAGCACCUGUAGAGGCAACACCACCUGCAGAACAGGCAACGCCCCCUGCAGAAGAAGCAGCUCCACCUGCAGAAGAGGUAACACCACCUGCAGAAGAGGCAGCACCACCUGCAGAAGAAGCAGCACCAGCAGCAGAAAAGCCUUCAGAGGCUGCAACACAAGAAGCACCAGCAGCUGCAGAGCCAGGGAGCGAGGCCACAGCAGCUGACUCAGCAGAAGCACCAGCUCCCAGUGAGUGAAGAGCAGCACCAUAAUGCUAACGCUGUUUGUAUGACUGAGUAACAGUACGAAUGUCAGUAUGUGUGUGUAAAUUGCCUUGUUGCCAAUUAGCAGACUAUGGUCACCACUGUGCCUUUGAUUCCUCUUUUCUGAUGAUGUAUGGCUGUGAUCUCUGUACAUAUCGACCUCCAGCACUUAAAGUGUGUCUGCUUUCAGGGAAGAUCUAGGAAUGAUUAAUAAUAGUUAUUUAAUUAAUCAUCUGUGUAGUAUGGGGGGCUGACUGUAAAGUUACAUAUACUAAAAUAAACAGCAACAUUUUGCAGUAAACCA
This 1520-nucleotide long non-coding RNA is filed under the name Gouania willdenowi (blunt-snouted clingfish). Its description in RNAcentral is "lncRNA (ENSGWIG00000001744.1)". The record is from RNAcentral. Lineage: Eukaryota; Metazoa; Chordata; Actinopteri; Blenniiformes; Gobiesocidae.